GACGGGCCCGCACAAGCAGCGGAGCGUGUGGUUUAAUUCGACGCUACGCGAAGAACCUUACCAGGGCUUGACAUCUGGUUAAAUACCCUAGAAAUAGGGGAUAGUUAUAGCCAAGACAGGUGGUGCAUGGUUGUCGUCAGCUCGUGUCGUGAGAUGUUGGGUUAAGUCCCGCAACGAGCGCAACCCCUGUCCUUAGUUACCAUCAUUCAGUUGGGGACUCUAAGGAGACUGCCGAUGUAAAUCGGAGGAAGGUGGGGAUGACGUCAAAUCAUCAUGCCCUUUAUGUCCUGGGCGACACACGUGCUACAAUGGCCGGUACAAAGAGACGCCAACCAGCGAUGGUGCGCAAAUCUCAAAAAGCCGGUCUCAGUUCAGAUCGAAGUCUGCAACUCGACUUCGUGAAGGCGGAAUUGCUAGUAAUCGCGAAUCAGCCAUGUCGCGGUGAAUACGUUCCCGGGGUUU
Molecule: ribosomal RNA, 462 nt
Filed under: uncultured Erysipelotrichaceae bacterium
Lineage: Bacteria; Bacillati; Bacillota; Erysipelotrichia; Erysipelotrichales; Erysipelotrichaceae
Description: bacterial SSU rRNA
Rfam family: Bacterial small subunit ribosomal RNA
Source: RNAcentral